Molecule: ribosomal RNA, 175 nt
Filed under: uncultured Lactobacillus sp.
Lineage: Bacteria; Bacillati; Bacillota; Bacilli; Lactobacillales; Lactobacillaceae
Description: partial 16S ribosomal RNA
Rfam family: Bacterial small subunit ribosomal RNA
Source: RNAcentral
CGACGUCAAAUCAUCAUGCCCCUUAUGUCCUGGGCUACACACGUGCUACAAUGGAUGGUACAACGAGCAGCGAAGUCGCGAGGCCAAGCAAAUCUCUUAAAGCCAUUCUCAGUUCGGACUGUAGGCUGCAACUCGCCUACACGAAGUCGGAAUCGCUAGUAAUCGCGGAUCAGCA